GACGAACGCUGGCGGCGUGCUUAACACAUGCAAGUCGAACGGAAAGGCCCCGCUUUUGUGGGGUGCUCGAGUGGCGAACGGGUGAGUAACACGUGAGUAACCUGCCCUUGACUUUGGGAUAACUUCAGGAAACUGGGGCUAAUACCGGAUAGGAGCUCCUGCUGCAUGGUGGGGGUUGGAAAGUUUCGGCGGUUGGGGAUGGACUCGCGGCUUAUCAGCUUGUUGGUGGGGUAGUGGCUUACCAAGGCUUUGACGGGUAGCCGGCCUGAGAGGGUGACCGGCCACAUUGGGACUGAGAUACGGCCCAGACUCCUACGGGAGGCAGCAGUGGGGAAUAUUGCACAAUGGGCGGAAGCCUGAUGCAGCAACGCCGCGUGCGGGAUGACGGCCUUUGGGUUGUAAACCGCUUUCGCCUGUGACGAAGCGUGAGUGACGGUAAUGGGUAAAGAAGCACCGGCUAACUACGUG
This 468-nucleotide ribosomal RNA is filed under the name uncultured bacterium. RNAcentral describes it as "partial 16S ribosomal RNA". It matches the Rfam family "Bacterial small subunit ribosomal RNA", at positions 28 to 507 of the family's 1533-position model. The record is from RNAcentral.